CCCGCCACGGUAAUACGAAGGGUGCAAGCGUUACUCGGAAUUACUGGGCGUAAAGCGUGCGUAGGUGGUGGUUUAAGUCCGUUGUGAAAGCCCUGGGCUCAACCUGGGAAUUGCAGUGGAUACUGGGUCACUAGAGUGUGGUAGAGGAUAGUGGAAUUUCCGGUGUAGCAGUGAAAUGCGUAGAGAUCGGAAGGAACAUCUGUGGCGAAGGCGACUAUCUGGGCCAACACUGACACUGAGGCACGAAAGCGUGGGGAGCAAACAGGAUUAGAUACCCCGGUAGUCCCUGUCUCUUAUACAC
RNAcentral lists this ribosomal RNA (301 nucleotides) under uncultured bacterium. RNAcentral's name for it is "partial 16S ribosomal RNA". It matches the Rfam family "Bacterial small subunit ribosomal RNA", at positions 508 to 809 of the family's 1533-position model. The record is from RNAcentral.